RNAcentral lists this long non-coding RNA (263 nucleotides) under Mustela putorius furo (domestic ferret). Its description in RNAcentral is "lncRNA (ENSMPUG00000027975.1)". Lineage: Eukaryota; Metazoa; Chordata; Mammalia; Carnivora; Mustelidae. The record is from RNAcentral.
CUGAAGGCCGCCUGGGUCUUUCUAGCACAUCAAAGGCAGAGACCAUUGAACCCACGUGGAGGCUCCUCGUCCUCCCAACAGCCCAGAUGCCAUCGGACUCAGAAGCAAAGCACUGAGCACAUCGUACCGCGGGCCUACACGGGGACUAAAAGAAGCUGAAGACGGGUCACUGCCAGUUUCUCCCUGCGCUCCCCCCUGCAGGGGCUGAGAUGAAAAUAAUAGACUUGACAUCUGGAGAACAGAAGUUCUGUUACAAUUUCUGU